UGCACGUCAAAAACUCAUCUAGUGUAAGUUCUAAGUAGGCUAUUCUCUGCCUUUAUUGCUUUUUAAUUACCUUUUUCAAUGCUUUAGAUUAAGUUUCAUGUCUAUUUUCAUGGUGUAUUAAUUUCCAUUGGUAGCAUUUUAAGUGUAGUAUGUCAUAAGAAUCCUCAAAUAAGGCCAACAUAUAUUUUGGAGGCAUAUGAUGUCAACAACAAGUUGCGGAGUUUACUUGUCCAAAACUGAUAUGCUUUGUCUAAACAUGCAAUACCAAUCAAAACUGCAGUUAAUAUUUGUUUCUCCUAUUAACUGUAGUUUUUGUUUUUUGGAAGGGGGUUGAAUUGGGG
This 341-nucleotide unclassified non-coding RNA is filed under the name Hevea brasiliensis (rubber tree). Lineage: Eukaryota; Viridiplantae; Streptophyta; Magnoliopsida; Malpighiales; Euphorbiaceae. The record is from RNAcentral.